This 73-nucleotide transfer RNA is filed under the name Camelus bactrianus (Bactrian camel). It matches the Rfam family "tRNA". Rfam says of the family: Transfer RNA (tRNA) molecules are approximately 80 nucleotides in length. Their secondary structure includes four short double-helical elements and three loops (D, anti-codon, and T loops). The record is from Rfam by way of RNAcentral. Lineage: Eukaryota; Metazoa; Chordata; Mammalia; Artiodactyla; Camelidae. RNAcentral also lists the same sequence under 1 other name.
GGUGAUAGAGCUCAGUGGUAAAGCACAUGCUUAGCAUGCAAGAGGUCCUGGGUUUCAACCCCCAGUAGCUCCA